GGGGACGAAAGGCUUCGACGGGUCUAGGUGACUAAGGGUUGCAUGCCGAGCGUUUUCCGUGUGCUCGUUAACCAAACGGUAAAAAAAGAAACAACAACAACGCAUACGCGUUGGCUGCUUAAGAGUUAAUUCUCUGCAGUCCGUCCUAGGUUACUCUCGUUGAUCGGGGUUUCUUAAGGCGUCAUAAUUAGAUCGACUAGCUGAAGAGUCCCGGCCCGGGGCGCUGACGCGAAACUCAAUGGGCUCGUUCAUUCGCUUUUCGCCGGCUUUUGAUGGGUGAACUAAAACAAAAAACCCGGCUACGCAUGUAGAAGUCUUUAGGUUCUUAUUCUCGGACACGGGUUCAAUUCCCGUCGUCUCCACAU
This 365-nucleotide transfer-messenger RNA is filed under the name bacterium. RNAcentral's name for it is "JAGQUY01 sp020438245 Standard tmRNA". It matches the Rfam family "transfer-messenger RNA". From Rfam's summary of the family: Bacterial tmRNA, also known as 10Sa RNA or SsrA, is named for its dual tRNA and mRNA-like properties. Its role is to liberate the mRNA from a stalled ribosome. RNAcentral also lists the same sequence under 1 other name. The record is from RNAcentral.